CGGGUGCUGUCCGUUAAACCUGUGCGGAACAGUUUCCACACGCCCGAUCAUUGUGUAAGCGUCUCUCCCACCCUUGAACCUGCGUCAUGCCGACGUCACCUGUUAAAACGAGGAUCCCCCUCACCAGCUUUGGACACUUGGUAACAGAGGUGAAGGCCCUACAGGUUUUGGAGUGGUGUUCAGGUUGGGCCAGUUGACUGCAAAGUGAAAAUAAGGCACUUUAGGGUCAUUUUGGUUUGACAGCAGUGUAACAACUCCAUUAAACCAUUCAAGUAUGUGGGAGUUUCCAUCCUCUCCUCUGCCUACUGAUUGUAGUUUUUUGGCCCCUCUCUUGCAGACAUCCUUUCUGUCUCCUCUCUGAGCCUCUUCAAUCCUCUCUGUUCCUUUGUUUUCACACUCAUCUUCUUCUUUCAGCUGCUCCCUUCAGGGGUUGCCACAGUGGAUAAUCUGCCUUCUGCUCUGUCUGUAGCAUCGUCCUCUGUCACACCAAGGCUCUGCAUGUCCUCCUUCACUACAUCCAUGAACCUCCUCUGUGGUCUUUCUUUUUUCCUCCUGCCUGACAACUUCAUAUUCAACAUUCUUUGUCCAUUACACACACAUGUAUAUAUAUAUAUAUAUAUAUAUAUAUAUAUAUAUAUCCAGGGGCAUGUCUAGAACAGAGGCAUGGGGUGGCACCAGCCCCCCUGAAAUAUGAAUAGUUUGCUCCUUUGCUGUUAAAUCUUAAAAUCCCCAACACCAUUGGAUGGGGC
Molecule: long non-coding RNA, 749 nt
Organism: Oreochromis aureus
Lineage: Eukaryota; Metazoa; Chordata; Actinopteri; Cichliformes; Cichlidae
Source: Ensembl